This 23-nucleotide small nuclear RNA is filed under the name Arabidopsis thaliana (thale cress). RNAcentral describes it as "snRNA_07246". The record is from RNAcentral. Lineage: Eukaryota; Viridiplantae; Streptophyta; Magnoliopsida; Brassicales; Brassicaceae.
GAGCUCAGUUCCCACCAGGGUUC